GACGAACGCUGGCGGCGUGCCUAACACAUGCAAGUCGAACGGAACUUCUUUAAAGGAUUUCUUCGGAAUGAAUUCNAUUAAGUUUAGUGGCGGACGGGUGAGUAACGCGUGAGUAACCUGCCUCUAAGAGGGGAAUAACAUUCUGAAAAGAAUGCUAAUACCGCAUAAUAUAUAUUUAUCGCAUGGUAGAUAUAUCAAAGAUUUAUCGCUUAGAGAUGGACUCGCGUCCGAUUAGUUAGUUGGUGAGGUAACGGCUCACCAAGACCGCGAUCGGUAGCCGGACUGAGAGGUUGAACGGCCACAUUGGGACUGAGACACGGCCCAGACUCCUACGGGAGGCAGCAGUGGGGGAUAUUGCGCAAUGGGGGAAACCCUGACGCAGCAACGCCGCGUGAAGGAUGAAGGUCUUCGGANUGUAAACUUCUUUUAUUAAGGACGAAGAAAGUGACGGUACUUAAGAAUAAGCUCCGGC
Molecule: ribosomal RNA, 472 nt
Filed under: uncultured bacterium
Lineage: Bacteria
Description: bacterial SSU rRNA
Rfam family: Bacterial small subunit ribosomal RNA
Source: RNAcentral